GGGGAUAUAACUCAGUUGGUAGAGUGUGCGCUUUGCAAGCGCGAAGUCAAGAGUUCAAAUCUCUUUAUCUCCA
Molecule: transfer RNA, 73 nt
Filed under: Ectocarpus siliculosus
Lineage: Eukaryota; Phaeophyceae; Ectocarpales; Ectocarpaceae
Also listed under: 8 other names
Rfam family: tRNA
About the family: Transfer RNA (tRNA) molecules are approximately 80 nucleotides in length. Their secondary structure includes four short double-helical elements and three loops (D, anti-codon, and T loops). Further hydrogen bonds mediate the characteristic L-shaped molecular structure. tRNAs have two regions of fundamental functional importance: the anti-codon, which is responsible for specific mRNA codon recognition, and the 3' end, to which the tRNAs corresponding amino acid is attached (by aminoacyl-tRNA synthetases). tRNAs cope with the degeneracy of the genetic code in two manners: having more than one tRNA (with a specific anti-codon) for a particular amino acid; and 'wobble' base-pairing, i.e. permitting non-standard base-pairing at the 3rd anti-codon position.
Source: Rfam by way of RNAcentral